UUAUGCCUACGGGACGCAGCAGUGAGGAAUAUUGGUCAAUGGGCUUACGCCUGAACCAGCCAAGUCGCGUGAGGGAAGACUGUCCUAUGGAUUGUAAACCUCUUUUGCCGGGGAGCAAAAAGCGGCACGUGUACCGCAUCGAGAGUACCCGGAGAAAAAGCAUCGGCUAACUCCGUGCCAGCAGCCGCGGUAAUACGGAGGAUGCGAGCGUUAUCCGGAUUUAUUGGGUUUAAAGGGUGCGCAGGCGGCGAGUUAAGUCAGCGGUAAAAUUUCGGGGCUCAACCCCGACGAGCCGUUGAAACUGG
Molecule: ribosomal RNA, 305 nt
Filed under: uncultured bacterium
Lineage: Bacteria
Description: bacterial SSU rRNA
Rfam family: Bacterial small subunit ribosomal RNA
Source: RNAcentral